AAAGUCGUAACAAGGUUUCCGUAGGUGAACCUGCGGAAGGAUCAUUACCUUUCAAUGCUGAAACGGGGGGUCGAGGCAGGUUACCUGUCUUUUCCCCUUGCUUCAAGUAUUAUCACCCUUGUUUUUUUGCGCACUCAUGUUUCCUCGGCAGGCUUGCCUGCCGGUUGGACAACCUAUAAAACCUUUUUAAUUUUCAAUCAGCGUCUGAAAUAAUUUAAUAAUUACAACUUUCAACAACGGAUCUCUUGGUUCUG
Molecule: unclassified non-coding RNA, 254 nt
Filed under: Ascomycota sp.
Lineage: Eukaryota; Fungi; Ascomycota
Description: partial contains small subunit ribosomal RNA, internal transcribed spacer 1, and 5.8S ribosomal RNA
Rfam family: Eukaryotic small subunit ribosomal RNA (bases 1-47)
Source: RNAcentral